GUGAUCUACGCGAUCGAGCAAGCUCUUAAAGAACUUGAAACAUUAUCGAGCGAGAACCAACCGAUGCUCCAAUAGUUGAAGACUGCUGUUUGUGAAUGUCCUGACCCCAUCAGCUCCUUUGUUGUGCAUUAUUAAGCUGCGUAGGAUUUUCAGGUUCUGUAUAGAUAAUAGAAUAAAAAAAGUCAUGGAAACUGAUCAGAUAAGCAAGAGACAGCGUUAGUUUCGUCAUACAAAAAGGUUUAUCUAUAGGAGAGGAUAUAUAGCUUCGCUUCAAAAGAAUAAUUGCAUUUGCGACUGAUAUUUUUAUAGAUUAUAAGCGCAUUUUAAUGAUUUUUUCUUUUUGUUGGUGGGUUUCAGAAAUAUGUUCAUUACACAUAAUAAUAGCAAGAGCUCACCUGUUUGAGAAGUUGCUUUCCAAAUUCCAAAGGUGGUUGCGGUCUUUCAACCCAAGGGGGUGGCGUUUUUCUUGAAGGAAAAUCUGUAAAAAAGCUAGCUUCAGCAAAAUAAGAAUAUGACCAAGUAGGUGGUGGCCUAAU
Long non-coding RNA from Arabidopsis thaliana (thale cress), 536 nucleotides. RefSeq annotates it as other RNA. NCBI's taxonomy places the organism in Eukaryota, Viridiplantae, Streptophyta, Magnoliopsida, Brassicales, Brassicaceae. The transcript is spliced from 2 exons. The record is from RefSeq.